GUAUGAGAUGGGCUGGAACAAAAGCUUCAGAUCUUCUCCAUGUACACAGACCCAAAGACAUUCAAACAGCAAGCAUCCCAAGUCUCUAAUGGUCCCAAUACUGGUUGAUGUGCAGGCCUAAGUGAGCACACACUAAAAUGGACCUACAGCUGUUGGUUGGGGACACACGAUGAGCAUGAUUUGAAUGCUGCAACUGAGACUGAAUGACGUUGAGGGACACGCGCUGAGACCCCGAGUGUGACUGGACAUGGGCCGGGUAUUUGUGACAACGACCUACAAGGGGUGAAAAAGCACAGCAACAACCACUUAUGUUUAUUCCAUCCCUCUAGCUACCCCUUAUUCCACACUGUGCCUUUUAUUCUCCAUGUUCCCUUAACUUCGGACACUUUGGAACUCUCCAUCUUCUCUCAAUAAACCCACCCUGCCUAUACUGGUUCCUUCACUUGUUCUUCCUAUCUAGACUCAGUAACACAUUUAAGUGUUGUGGUGUACUGUUUUUGCGAGCUUUUUUUCCCCCCACCUGUGUAAUGCUGUCCUGCUUAUUCUGGGAUUCAGACUGAAUGCAGUGGUAAAUGUGCUUCUCACAAUUGACAGCAGCAACAUGGACCUGUUAAAUUGACAAGAUGAGUGUUGCCAUAACUACUUUAGGCAUGGCUUCCAUGUUUUGAGUAUGUUAGAUGAUUUUCUCAUUCUGCUGGAGUUGAUCUAGUAUUUUAACUUACCCACCAAAAAUCACAAUAUGCUGUUUUACAUUGUUAUUUGUGCUGGUCUAAUUCCUAAAAAUGAAAAGCAGAAGAAUCUGUCAGCUCUGACAUAGUAGUAAUAAUAGAUCAUAUGGUGCUUUGAUGCCACAUGUUUGACAUUGAUUAAUUUUAUUUAUUUCAAGUCAGCUGUUUAUUGUAUUAUGUAUAUUGUUUAAGAAGUCUAAAAUAGCAAACAAUGUAAUUGUUGGAGUUCAGGAGUUUGACUUGAUUGACGCGUGACUAGGUGCAUUCUUGUCAAAUAAAUAUGCUUAUUUAUACAUGAAUAUAGAUCUGCAAUGAGUUACUCUGGCUUUGAAUCUGCAACAGAACACGUCAACAAAUUAGUUCUGAAUUAAUAAAGCAGUGCAUUCCCGACUCCAGGAAUUGAAAUAGUUUGUCGGUCAUAUAGUUGGCAUUAAUGAUAAGGGAUUAAAUGUAGAGGAUCUGGUAAAAUAAAGGUAUGUUGCUAAUAUCAUCUAGGUAGCUAACGUUAGCUUGCUAACUUCUAUGCAAAAACGAACCUAGUAUUCGUUGCAAAUUGUAAAUCUGACUGCUACUAGGACAGUAUUUUGUACAAGACACAACCAAUUGCAUAAAAAAAGCUAAGAAAUAUUAGUUUAAAAUAUGGAACAGUACAUUAAAAU
RNAcentral lists this long non-coding RNA (1387 nucleotides) under Salmo salar (Atlantic salmon). Its description in RNAcentral is "lncRNA (ENSSSAG00000114440.1)". Lineage: Eukaryota; Metazoa; Chordata; Actinopteri; Salmoniformes; Salmonidae. The record is from RNAcentral.